AUAAGAAACAAAAUUUGUAUUUAGUUUCGACCUAAAAUUUAGGUAAUUUAUUUACCCUUAUU
RNAcentral lists this transfer RNA (62 nucleotides) under Ochthebius remotus. RNAcentral describes it as "tRNA-Arg". The record is from RNAcentral. Lineage: Eukaryota; Metazoa; Arthropoda; Insecta; Coleoptera; Hydraenidae.